GAGACGACAGGAGGAGUCAGAAGCAGGAGGUUAAAAAAGACAAGAAACACACACACACACACACACACAAAGCCACCCCACAAAAGCCGUCUAAGUGGCUCCCUUUCGGGACCUGAGGCUUUCCAGCGAAACGUCCUGCGGAGAGCAGACCGUUUGGGGCCGCAGCAUCUUCCCUCCGGGGGCAACGCCUCGGGCCGCCGGGUGUGCGUCCUGGAGCUCUCGGCCCGGCUCAGCCGUCACUCCGGAGGCAGGGAGGUCUCAUCUCGCGUUGAGCGUGCGCUGGCUGCUGGAGACAGAUAUCAAGACGAUAAGAAGACCGCAGAGAAAGGCCUCUUGCUCUGCUGGGGGAGACAGACACACGGACCAAUGGCUGAAACCAGGGCGAUGAGCGCAGUGGUAGGAGUGGGCGCCCCGUGGGGGCGGGCGGGGAGUCUUUCUUGCCUGGGAGACCACGGAAGCUGCCUUUAAGCUGUGAAAGAUAACUUGAGUGUGAUGGGCAGAUGGGAGGCAAAGAGAAAGUGGUGUCACGGGUAGAGACACAGCGACGCUGUUCUCCACACUAGAAUCAUCUCAAUGGAAGCUGGAUGGAGGUGAUGCCAUGUUGCUCGUGGCCCCAGGCAUCUCGCGGAUGAAGAUGAAACUGCUCUCCAGAAGAAGAUAACCACCCAAACACAGAAGGAAAGAAAGUUCAAGGCAAGUGACAAUCUUCCAGUCCUAACCUCCACGAUUAUAGAAAAUAUAGUGGUGAUUUGUGUGCAAAGGUUUGAAAUUUAAAAGUACUGAGUUCCUGAAAUUCAAUAAAAUAUUUUUAUUA
RNAcentral lists this long non-coding RNA (814 nucleotides) under Capra hircus (goat). Its description in RNAcentral is "lncRNA (ENSCHIG00000005627.1)". The record is from RNAcentral. Lineage: Eukaryota; Metazoa; Chordata; Mammalia; Artiodactyla; Bovidae.